This 484-nucleotide ribosomal RNA is filed under the name uncultured bacterium. RNAcentral describes it as "partial 16S ribosomal RNA". It matches the Rfam family "Bacterial small subunit ribosomal RNA", at positions 28 to 507 of the family's 1533-position model. The record is from RNAcentral.
GAUUAACGCUAGCGGCAGGCAUAAUACAUGCAAGUUGAACGGCAGCACAGGUAGCAAUACUGGGUGGCGAGUGGCGCACGGGUGCGUAACACGUAUGCAACCUACCCUAUACAGGCGAAUAACCUUUAGAAAUGAGGGCUAAUACGCCGUAGUAUUACAGCUGGGCAUCUAUUUGUAAUUAAAGAUUUAUCGGUAUAGGAUGGUCAUGCGUCCCAUUAGUUAGUUGGUAAGGUAACGGCUUACCAAGACGAUGAUGGGUAGGGGAUCUGAGAGGACUUACCCCCACACUGGUACUGAGACACGGACCAGACUCCUACGGGAGGCAGCAGUAAGGAAUAUUGGGCAAUGGCCGCGAGGCUGACCCAGCCAUGCCGCGUGCAGGAAGACGGCCUUAUGGGUUGUAAACUGCUUUUAUACGGGAAUAAUAGAGUGUACGCGUACAUUUAUGCAAGUAUCGUAUGAAUAAGCAUCGGCUAACUCCGUG